RNAcentral lists this ribosomal RNA (551 nucleotides) under uncultured bacterium. Its description in RNAcentral is "bacterial SSU rRNA". It matches the Rfam family "Bacterial small subunit ribosomal RNA", at positions 135 to 670 of the family's 1533-position model. The record is from RNAcentral.
AGCGGGGGACAACAUUUGGAAACAGAUGCUAAUACCGCAUAACAGCGUUGUUCGCAUGAACAACGCUUAAAACCAUGGCUUCUCGCUAUCACUUCUGGAUGGACCUGCGGUGCAUUAGCUUGUUGGUGGGGUAACGGCCUACCAAGGCGAUGAUGCAUAGCCGAGUUGAGAGACUGAUCGGCCACAAUGGGACUGAGACACGGCCCAUACUCCUACGGGAGGCAGCAGUAGGGAAUCUUCCACAAUGGGCGCAAGCCUGAUGGAGCAACACCGCGUGAGUGAAGAAGGGUUUCGGCUCGUAAAGCUCUGUUGUUAAAGAAGAACACGUAUGAGAGUAACUGUUCAUACGUUGACGGUAUUUAACCAGAAAGUCACGGCUAACUACGUGCCAGCAGCCGCGGUAAUACGUAGGUGGCAAGCGUUAUCCGGAUUUAUUGGGCGUAAAGAGAGUGCAGGCGGUUUUCUAAGUCUGAUGUGAAAGCCUUCGGCUUAACCGGAGAAGUGCAUCGGAAACUGGAUAACUUGAGUGCAGAAGAGGGUAGUGGAACUCC